CGGCACCGCAGCAGCUGGGGAGGGGGAGAGCCAUGAAUGGGGAUAUGGUGGCGAUCCGGGCGUGGAUGGGGACGUCAGGGGACACGGACAUGGGUGGGGACACGUGGGGGACAGGGACAGGGGGGGGGACAUGGGGUGAACUCCCAGGGAAUGUGGAGGAUGGUGGGUUUGAUCCAGUUGAGGUUUCUUGGGAGGAACGUGGAGUGCCGUGCCACGUAAAGUGAAAUUCCAGAUCAUUCGGGAGCGUGCCAUGGAUCCAAGAGGGGAAUUCCCAAGGCUCCCAGGGGCUGCUUAUGCCCUGCUUCCCCAGGGAGCUGUGCAGGGGCAGGGGGCAAGGUGCAGAAGCUGUGUGGUAGGCUACCAGAGCAGACAGCAGAGGUGGCUUUGCUGGACAUUUCCAGCCCAUUCCCAGCUCAAAGCUGUGGGAAGAAGAAAAAGAAAGUGAGAAUCCCUGAGAGAAUCCCAGAACGACUGCGGGGAAAGGGUGUGGAAGCCCCUCCUGUGGUUCCCCUCUUGGGGAGACCCUAAUUCUCCUAGAUUCCAAUUCAUCCCAAAAUAUUAGAAGGUUUCCACAUAAUUGAAGAUUAAAAGCAGUGUCCUCCUAAGGAUCAAAACUUCUCAAAAGAUGCAAAGCAAUAUUCCGUGUACCCUAAGUAUGAAUAUGUAGGGACCCUGGCCGUGGGCUGCAGUCCCAGAGGGAGAGACACCUCUACCCGAGGGAAGGUGCAAAUGAGACCACAGCACCGCAACCCACGUAUUUUUUUGAACAUGUAUUUUACUGAAGAUAGUAUUGACCAAGGAAUGUGAGGUAGAGAAAUAGGAAAGAGGUCUCAGGGACAUAAAGAAUUAGGAAAGAUCUCUGGCUCGGACUCGGCAGCUGCCGGGGAGACUCGCAGAGCGCAGCGCCUUUUCCAAUUCCUGCCACAGGACGCACUGACCAAUUUCCUGUGAAACACAAGUCUAGUCUCCUGUGAAAAUUUAAAAGUUUAAUAAAGGACAAUAGGAGACAGCAACCAUGAAGC
Non-coding RNA from Lonchura striata (white-rumped munia), 1022 nucleotides. Lineage: Eukaryota; Metazoa; Chordata; Aves; Passeriformes; Estrildidae. The record is from RefSeq and is a predicted model, not a curated record.